RNAcentral lists this ribosomal RNA (764 nucleotides) under uncultured bacterium. Its description in RNAcentral is "bacterial SSU rRNA". It matches the Rfam family "Bacterial small subunit ribosomal RNA", at positions 66 to 808 of the family's 1533-position model. The record is from RNAcentral.
ACGCGAAACCCUCCUUCGGGAGGGGAGUAGAGUGGCGCACGGGUGAGUAACACGUAGGUAAUUUGCCUUCGGGUGGGGAAUAACUCAGGGAAACUUGAGCUAAUACCGCAUAAUGCAGCGGCUCGACAUCGAGACAGUUGUUAAAGCGGGGGAUCGCAAGACCUCGCGCCUGAAGAGAAGCCUGCGGCAGAUUAGCUAGUUGGUAAGGUAAUGGCUUACCAAGGCGACGAUCUGUAACCGGCCUGAGAGGGCGGUCGGUCACACUGACACUGACAUACGGGUCAGACUCCUACGGGAGGCAGCAGUCGGGAAUUUUGGGCAAUGGGCGAAAGCCUGACCCAGCAACGCCGCGUGAAGGAUGAAAUCCCUCGGGAUGUAAACUUCGUAAGAACAGGAAGAAUAAGUAGGGGACAAUACCCCCUAUGAUGACGGUACUGUUUGUAAGCUCCGGCUAACUCCGUGCCAGCAGCCGCGGUAAUACGGGGGGAGCAAGCGUUGUUCGGAUUUACUGGGCGUAAAGGGCGCGUAGGCGGCCACGACAAGUCACUUGUGAAAUCUCCGGGCUUAACCCGGAACGGUCAAGUGAUACUGUCGGGCUAGAGUGCAGAAGGGGCAACUGGAAUUCUCGGUGUAGCGGUGAAAUGCGUAGAUAUCGAGAGGAACACCUGCGGCGAAAGCGGGUUGCUGGGCUGACACUGACGCUGAGGCGCGAAAGCUAGGGGAGCGAACGGGAUUAGAUACCCCGGUAGUCCUAGCCUUAAACG